This 2039-nucleotide long non-coding RNA is filed under the name Lathyrus oleraceus (garden pea). Its description in RNAcentral is "Pisum sativum (pea) long non-coding RNA (PSAT_LNC041429)". The record is from RNAcentral. Lineage: Eukaryota; Viridiplantae; Streptophyta; Magnoliopsida; Fabales; Fabaceae.
GAUUGAAUUGUCAGAAUGAUGAAAAUGUUGAUGUUAAACCCAUGAAAUUUGAUUGAAUUGUGGGAGUUAUAGAAAUGAUGAUGUUAAACCCAUGAAAUUUGAUUGAAUUGUGGGAAUGAUGAAAAUGUUGAUUUUAAACCCAUGAAAUUUGAUUGAAUUGUGGGAAUUAUAAAAAUGACGACGUUAAACCCAUGAAAUUUGAUUGAAUUGUGGGAGUGAGGAAAAUGAUGAUGUUAAACCCAUGAAAUUUGAUUGAAUUGUUAGAAAGAUGAAAAUGUUGGUGUUAAACCCAUGAAAUUUGAUUCAAUUGUGGGAAUUAUAGAAAUGAUGAUGUUAAACCCAUGAAAUUUGAUUGAAUUGUGGGAAUGAUGAAAAUGUUGAUGUUAAACCCAUGAAAUUUGAUUGAAUUGUGGGAAUGAUGAAAAUGAUGAUGUUAAACCCAUGAAAUUUGAUUGAAUUGUGGGAAUGAUGAAAAUGUUGAUGUUAAACCCAUGAAAUUUGAUUGAAUUGUGGGAAUUAUAGAAAUGAUGAUGUUAAACCCAUGAAAUUUGAUUGAAUUGUGGGAAUGAUGAAAAUGUUGAUGUUAAACCCAUGAAAUUUGAUUGAAUUGUGGGAAUGAUGAAAAUGUUGAUGUUAAACCCAUGAAAUUUGAUUGAAUUGUGGGAAUGAUGAAAAUGUUGAUGUUAAACCCAUGAAAUUUGAUUGAAUUGUGGGAAUGAUGAAAAUGUUGAUGUUAAACCCAUGAAAUUUGAUUGAAUUGUGGGAAUGAUGAAAAUGUUGAUGUUAAACCCAUGAAAUUUGAUUGAAUUGUGGGAAUGAUGAAAAUGUUGAUGUUAAACCCAUGAAAUUUGAUUGAAUUGUGGGAAUGAUGAAAAUGUUGAUGUUAAACCCAUGAAAUUUGAUUGAAUUGUGGGAAUGAUGAAAAUGUUGAUGUUAAACCCAUGAAAUUUGAUUGAAUUGUGGGAAUGAUGAAAAUGUUGAUGUUAAACCCAUGAAAUUUGAUUGAAUUGUGGGAAUGAUGAAAAUGUUGAUGUUAAACCCAUGAAAUUUGAUUGAAUUGUGGGAAUGAUGAAAAUGUUGAUGUUAAACCCAUGAAAUUUGAUUGAAUUGUGGGAAUGAUGAAAAUGUUGAUGUUAAACCCAUGAAAUUUGAUUGAAUUGUGGGAAUGAUGAAAAUGUUGAUGUUAAACCCAUGAAAUUUGAUUGAAUUGUGGGAAUGAUGAAAAUGUUGAUGUUAAACCCAUGAAAUUUGAUUGAAUUGUGGGAAUGAUGAAAAUGUUGAUGUUAAACCCAUGAAAUUUGAUUGAAUUGUGGGAAUGAUGAAAAUGUUGAUGUUAAACCCAUGAAAUUUGAUUGAAUUGUGGGAAUGAUGAAAAUGUUGAUGUUAAACCCAUGAAAUUUGAUUGAAUUGUGGGAAUGAUAGAAAUGAUGAUGUUAAACCCAUUAAAUUUGAUUGAAUUGUGGGAAUGAUGAAAAUGUUGAUGUUAAACCUAUGAAAUUUGAUUGAGUUGUGGGAAUGAUGAAAAUGAUGAUGUUAAACCCAUGAAAUUUGAUUGAAUUGUGGGAAUUAUAAAAUUGAUGAUGUUAAACCCAUGAAAUUCAUUUGAAUUGUGGGAAUGAUUAAAAUGUUGAUUUUAAACCCAUGAAAUUUGAUUGAAUUGUGGGAAUCAUAGAAAUGAUGAUGUUAAACCCAUGAAAUUUGAUUCAAUGGUGGGAGUGAUGAAAAUGAUGAUGUUAAACCUAUGAGAUUUGAUUCAAUUGUUAGAAAGAUGAAAAUGGUGGUGUUAAAACCCUGAAAUCAGAUUAAAAUGUGGGAAUUAUAGAAAUGAGGAUGUUAAACCCAUGAAAUUUGAUUCAAUUGUGGAAAAGAUGAAAAUGUUGUUGUUAAACCCAUGAAAUUUGAUUGAAUUGUCGGAAUGAUGAAAAUGAUGAUGUUAAACCCAUGAAAUUUGAUUGAAUUGUGGGAAUUAUAGAAAUGAUGAUGUUAAACCCAUGAAAUUUGAUUCAAUUGUGGGAAUGAUGAAAAUGUUGAUGUUAAAC